This 429-nucleotide ribosomal RNA is filed under the name uncultured bacterium. RNAcentral's name for it is "bacterial SSU rRNA". It matches the Rfam family "Bacterial small subunit ribosomal RNA", at positions 355 to 776 of the family's 1533-position model. The record is from RNAcentral.
UGGGGAAUUUUGGACAAUGGGCGCAAGCCUGAUCCAGCCAUGCCGCGUGGGUGAAGAAGGCCUUCGGGUUGUAAAGCCCUUUCGGCCGGGAAGAAAUCGUGCGGGCGAACAGUCUGCAUGGAUGACGGUACCGGAAGAAGAAGCACCGGCUAACUACGUGCCAGCAGCCGCGGUAAUACGUAGGGUGCGAGCGUUAAUCGGAAUUAUUGGGCGUAAAGCGUGCGCAGGCGGCGCCAUAAGACAGCUGUGAAAUCCCCGGGCUUAACCUGGGAACUGCGGUUGUGACUGUGGUGCUAGAGUACGGCAGAGGGAGGUGGAAUUCCUGGUGUAGCAGUGAAAUGCGUAGAGAUCAGGAGGAACACCGAUGGCGAAGGCAGCCUCCUGGGCUGAUACUGACGCUCAUGCACGAAAGCGUGGGGAGCAAACAGG